RNAcentral lists this ribosomal RNA (253 nucleotides) under uncultured bacterium. RNAcentral's name for it is "partial 16S ribosomal RNA". It matches the Rfam family "Bacterial small subunit ribosomal RNA", at positions 524 to 776 of the family's 1533-position model. The record is from RNAcentral.
UACGUAGGCAGCGAGCGUUGUUCGGAGUUACUGGGCGUAAAGGGUGCGUAGGCGGUUGUUUAAGUUUGGUGUGAAAUCUCCCGGCUCAACUGGGAGGGUGCGCCGAAUACUGAAUGACUAGAGUGCGGGAGAGGAUAGUGGAAUUCCUGGUGCAGCGGUGAAAUGCGUAGAUAUCAGGAGGAACACCGGUGGUGUAGACGGCUAUCUGGACCGUAACUGACGCUGAGGCACGAAAGCGUGGGUAGCAAACAGG